AUGCAUGUUGAUACUAUAAUGGAAUCUCGUGAUGCAACAUUUUUUGAGAACAUAUUUCCUAUGAAAGAUAUGCAUAGCAUUGCUAGAUUUUCUUCUGAGAUAAUUCCUGAAUCUAGUACAACUGAUGAAUAUUUCGAACAAUCACAUGAGGAAGUCCUUGAGAAGGAUAACAAUGAAGUUCCUAGAAGGAACAAGAGACAAAGGAUUGCAAAAUCCUUUGGUGAUGAUUUCAUUGUAUACCUUGUGGACGACACACCCAAGACGAUUGCAGAAGCAUAUGCAUCUCCGGAUGUAGAUGAUUGGAAAGAAGCUGUUCAUAAUGAGAUGGACUCAAUUCUUUCUAAUGGAACUUGGGAACUAACUGAUAGACCAUAUGGUUGUAAACCUGUGGGCUAUAAGUGGGUGUUCAAAAAGAAGCUAAAGCCUGAUGGUACUAUUGAUAAGUACAAGGCGCGGCUAGUGGCCAAGGGCUACACUCAGAAAGAAGGCGAAGAUUACUUUGACACCUAUUCACCCGUUGCUAGAAUGACCACCAUUCGAGUGUUACUUUCCUUGCCUGCCUCUUAUGGUCUUAUCAUUCAUCAAAUGGAUGUAAAGACAGCUUUUCUCAAUGGAGAGUUGGAAGAGGAGAUCUAUAUGGAUCAGCCUGACGGGUUUGUGGUAAAGGGUGAAGAGAGAAAGGUGUGCAAGUUGUUAAAAUCUUUGUAUGGUCUGAAACAGGCACCUAAGCAAUGGCAUGAGAAGUUUGAAAGAACUCUGACUUCUGCAGGAUUUGUCAUUAACGAGGCUGAUAGGUGUGUUUACUAUCGCAAUGGUGGGGGCAAUAGUGUCAUAUUAUGUUUGUAUGUGGACGACAUACUGAUCUUUGGUACAAACAUUAAUGCAAUUAAUGAGGUCAAGUCUUUUCUAUCAAAAAGUUUUGACAUGAAAGAUCUGGGAGAAGCCGAUGUAAUUCUAAACAUCAAACUUAUUAAGGAUGAGAGUGGGAUUACAUGA
RNAcentral lists this ribosomal RNA (996 nucleotides) under Triticum aestivum (bread wheat). RNAcentral's name for it is "partial small subunit ribosomal RNA". Lineage: Eukaryota; Viridiplantae; Streptophyta; Magnoliopsida; Poales; Poaceae. The record is from RNAcentral.